Molecule: ribosomal RNA, 196 nt
Filed under: uncultured bacterium
Lineage: Bacteria
Description: partial 16S ribosomal RNA
Rfam family: Bacterial small subunit ribosomal RNA
Source: RNAcentral
UACGUAGGGCGCAAGCGUUGUCCGGAAUUAUUGGGCGUAAAGAGCUCGUAGGCGGUUUGUCGCGUCUGCUGUGAAAGCCCCGGGGCUCAACCCCGGUCUGCAGUGGGUACGGGCAGACUAGAGUGCAGUAGGGGAGACUGGAAUUCCUGGUGGUAGGCGGUCGAAAUGCGCAGGAUAAUCAGGAGGAACACCGAUG